ACAGUUCAAAUAGGGAGAUGGUGAUGUUGGUGAUAGUAUGUGAUAGUGAGGCUACAACCAUUACACAAUAAUGAUUAUACUUUGCAUUCAGUUCGGUAUAUCCAUUGUUGAACACACACAAGCACAUGUACCACGUAAUAUUUAGACACUAGUUGAUAAGAUUUGAUAAGUGAAAAGUGCCUCAAGUAUAAAUUAUAGACACUGUUUCGUCAGUGUCCAUGAUUUAGAAGCCCUCAGGCACUUGUAUAGUACCCUGGCUAUGCUCGGGAUACUGACUAAAGCAGUACUGGCCUUUGAGCUUCUAAAUUCCAUAUUGAUUAUAGACACCUCCAAAACAGUGUCUAUAAUUACAUAGCGUACGAACAAUGCUAAUAACUUGUUUGAUGUGUCAGGAUCAACGGACUGCUCUGAUGUUGGCUGCCUGCAGUGGUUCUCUGGAGAUGGUCUCUCUGUUCCUUGAGAAAGGUGCCGACGUUAACCUCCGGGAUAAGGACGGCCUAACAGCUCUGGACAUUGCUAAAGAGGCGGGGUUCACUGAACUUAAUGGCGUUGCUGGGGAAACACUCCAAAUCAAAAUAUAAACGAUAACAACAGUCUCUAGGAUUGUAGAUUUUAUCAAUGAUCAUGUGCCCAUUUUUUGUAUCUCUUUUAUCAUUCUGUGUGGAGUGCAUCCAUUUUAAGUGUAUUCACGGAUUGAGGUGUGACCGA
Halichondria panicea is the source of this 708-nucleotide long non-coding RNA. RefSeq lists it as uncharacterized. The transcript is spliced from 2 exons. NCBI's taxonomy places the organism in Eukaryota, Metazoa, Porifera, Demospongiae, Suberitida, Halichondriidae. The record is from RefSeq and is a predicted model, not a curated record.